CCUACCCUACGGGAGGCAGCAGUGAGGAAUAUUGGUCAAUGGGCGCGAGCCUGAACCAGCCAAGUCGCGUGAGGGAAGACGGCCCUACGGGUUGUAAACCUCUUUUGUCGGGGAGCAAAGCGAACCACGUGUGGUUCAUUGAGAGUACCCGAAGAAAAAGCAUCGGCUAACUCCGUGCCAGCAGCCGCGGUAAUACGGAGGAUGCGAGCGUUAUCCGGAUUUAUUGGGUUUAAAGGGUGCGCAGGCGGAGGUGCAAGUCAGCGGUCAAAUUGCGGGGCUCAACCCCGUACUGCCGUUGAAACUGC
RNAcentral lists this ribosomal RNA (305 nucleotides) under uncultured bacterium. RNAcentral describes it as "bacterial SSU rRNA". It matches the Rfam family "Bacterial small subunit ribosomal RNA", at positions 332 to 636 of the family's 1533-position model. The record is from RNAcentral.